Molecule: ribosomal RNA, 678 nt
Filed under: Lactarius deliciosus
Lineage: Eukaryota; Fungi; Basidiomycota; Agaricomycetes; Russulales; Russulaceae
Description: eukaryotic LSU rRNA
Rfam family: 5.8S ribosomal RNA (bases 249-402)
Source: RNAcentral
UGCGGAAGGAUCAUUAUCGUACAACGUGCGUCGAGGGCGUGCGAGGGCUGUCGCUGACUUUUUGUUGACGCAAAAGUCGUGCACGCCGGAGCGCGUCCUCUCGCAUAAAAUCCAUCUCACCCUUUUGUGCACCACCGCGUGGGCACCUUUUGGGAUCGAACCGAUCCUGGAGGGGGCUUGCGUUUUCACACAAACCCCUUUUAAAAAGUGUAGAAUGACCCCAUUUUGCGAUGACACGCAAUCAAUACAACUUUCAACAACGGAUCUCUUGGCUCUCGCAUCGAUGAAGAACGCAGCGAAAUGCGAUACGUAAUGUGAAUUGCAGAAUUCAGUGAAUCAUCGAAUCUUUGAACGCACCUUGCGCCCCUUGGUAUUCCGAGGGGCACACCCGUUUGAGUGUCGUGAAAUUCUCAACCUUCUCGGUUUUCUUCUGGACACCGAAGGAGGCCUGGACAUUGGAGGCCUUUGCUGGCGUCUCUUAGACCCAGCUCCUCUUAAAUGAAUUAGCGGGGUCCUCUUUGCCGAUCCUUGACAUGUGAUAAGAUGUUUCCAUGACUUGGUUUCUGGCUCUGUUGCAUUUGGGACCCGCUUCUAACCGUCUCGACGAGACAACGUUUGGGCGUGUCUCCCUUCUCGGGAGACUCUCUCAACCCCCACGAACCCUUGACCUCAAAUCGG